AUGGAGGCGGCGGCCUCAGCCGCUGUGGCGGCGGCCAAGGAGGCGGCGCUGGCCGCGGCAUCGGCGGCAGAGAAGGAGGCGGCAGUGGCGGCCGCGACCGCGAAGGAGGCGGCGGCGGCCUCAGCUGCUGCGGUGUCUGCUAAGGAGGCGGCGUUGGCCGCGUCUGCUGCGGCAUCGGCUGCUGCGAAUGAGGCGGAGGUGGCGGCUGUGACUGCGACGGAGACAGCGGCGACUGCGAAGGAGGCGGCGGUGGCGGCUUCGGCUGCUGCGUCAAAUGCGAAGGAGGCAGCGGCUGUGGCGGCGACUACAGGGGAGGUGGCGGCGGCGGCCGCCGCCGCUGCGACGGCGGCAAUGCAGGCUUCCAAGAAGCGUAAGUUCCACCUUAUCUGCGACCAAGAUCCACCGGGGAGUGGGAGCUGCGAUGAUGUUGAUGGGGGGAGCGUCGAUNNNNNNNNNNNNNNNNNNNNNNNNNNNNNNNNNNNNNNNNNNNNNNNNNNNNNNNNNNNNNNNNAUCUCACUGAUGAUGUUGAUGGGGGGAGCGUCGAUCUCAGCGAUGACGUUGAUGAGGGGAGCGUCGAUCUCAUCAGCUAUUUUGAUUUGGGGAGUGCCGAUCUCAUCAGCCGCCUCCCCGACGCCGUCCUCGGCAGCAUAGUGUCUCUUCUCCCCACCAAAGAAGGCGCCCGCACGCAGAUCAUCUCCCGCCGGUGGCGUCCGCUCUGGCGUUCCGCUCCUCUGAACCUUGUAGUGGACUACAAGAUCAUUAACUUGGUUCCAAAGAUUCUCUCUGAGCAUCGUGGCCCCGCACGCCGCUUCUCAAUCGAGGACUGUUACGUCGAAGGCAGGCUUGGUCCCUAUACCCGGAGUAUCUAUAUAGAAGACUGUUAUGAUAAGGUUGAAGGCUGGCUUAGUUCCGCUGCCCUGGACAACCUAGAGGAGUUGGAGCUCACCCCCAAGUGCUCAUACGGCUACCGGGGGGAGUUGUACCUGCUGCACUCGUCGACAUACCGCUUCUCAUCCACGCUCCGCGUGGCCAAAUUCCACUGCUGCCAUUUCCCCAACUUAAUUGUGCAGCUGUCCCUGAAGUUUCCAUGCCUCAAGCAAUUGACCCUGCAAAAGGUCACCAUCUCGGAGGACCCUCUCCAGAGCUUGCUCUCUGGCUGCACUGCCUUGGAAAGCCUUGAGCUGAAGGAAAACAUGGGCACUGGUCGCCUCUGCAUCACCUCCCAAACUCUUAAGAGUUUAGGCUUUUGCGCUAACUCAAGGGAUGGUGGUCUCUUUUUGCAAGAGUUAGUCGUCAAGGAUGCCCCGUGCCUUGAGAGAUUGCUACCACUUAAUCCAAAGGGUGGCACAGCGAGCAUACGGAUAAUCUCGGCACCUAAACUGGAGAUAUUGGGUAUGCUGUCUGAAGACACAUAUGAAUUCCACCUUGGGAGUUCAGUUUUUCAGAAAAUGAUUGCUGUCAAUUUAACAACCAAAAUGCACACCAUGAGGGUUUUGGUUCUCAGCUCUGUUGGCCCUAAUCUGGAUGCAGUUGUGAACUUCCUCAAGUGCUUCCCUUGCUUGGAGAGGUUGUAUGUCAUUUUCCAGUCACCCUCAUACAAGGAUAUGAAUAAUGUCCGGAAGUAUGACCCACUGGACCCAAUUGAAUGUCUUGAGCUUCAUCUAAAAAAAGUAGUGUUGAAGAAUUAUGACGGCACCAGAGAUUCAUCUAUCAACUUUGCCAAGUUCUUUGUUCUGAAUGCAAAAGUGCUAAAGGAAAUGAAAAUCACAUUGCCUUACCACCGCCAGCAUGGAUGGUUUGCUAAUCAAUCCAGCCUGCUACGAGUCAGAAAUAGAGCUUCUCCAGAUGCUCGAAUUGAGAUGAGAUGUGGCACUAAAGAUGAUUUCACACACAACAAGCAUACCCAUGAUCUGUCAAUGGACGACCCCUUUGACUUGCCCUACGGAGGAUGCUAUAUGUGUAAAGAGAAGGGUCUAGGAGAUGGUGUAUACCAAGUUUAA
RNAcentral lists this ribosomal RNA (2001 nucleotides) under Triticum aestivum (bread wheat). RNAcentral's name for it is "partial small subunit ribosomal RNA". The record is from RNAcentral. Lineage: Eukaryota; Viridiplantae; Streptophyta; Magnoliopsida; Poales; Poaceae.